RNAcentral lists this ribosomal RNA (326 nucleotides) under uncultured eukaryote. RNAcentral describes it as "partial 18S ribosomal RNA". It matches the Rfam family "Eukaryotic small subunit ribosomal RNA", at positions 1470 to 1796 of the family's 1831-position model. The record is from RNAcentral.
CCCUUAGAUGUUCUGGGCCGCACGCGCGCUACACUGACGAAUGCAACGAGCUUAUACCUUGGCCGAAAGGUCUGGGUAAUCUCCAAAUUUCGUCGUGAUGGGGAUAGAUUAUUGCAAUUAUUAAUCUUCAACGAGGAAUGCCUAGUAAGCGCAAGUCAUCAGCUUGCGUUGAUUACGUCCCUGCCCUUUGUACACACCGCCCGUCGCUCCUACCGAUUGAAUGGUCCGGUGAAGCGUUCGGACCGUGGCCUUUGGACGGUUCGCCGUCUGUUGGCUGCGGGAAGUUCGUUAAACCUUAUCAUUUAGAGGAAGGAGAAGUCGUANCA